Long non-coding RNA from Rhopilema esculentum, 2411 nucleotides. RefSeq lists it as uncharacterized. Lineage: Eukaryota; Metazoa; Cnidaria; Scyphozoa; Rhizostomeae; Rhizostomatidae. The record is from RefSeq and is a predicted model, not a curated record.
ACCAUUGCUUUCUAAAUUAUUGGGGGUGGUCACCCUCCCUCGCCUCUCCCCAUGUGUUGCCACUGCAUCGAAUAUAAAAAAAGUUAUCUUAACGAAAAUAUGAGUUUAACUAGCGAUUAGGUAGCCGUAGACUUAAUCGGGUUUUCUUUAAAAAAUAUUUUAAAAUUACACAUCAUUGGGUAAAUAUGCUUAUUAGAAAAAAUCAUAUUAAAACGAAUGGAGAUUGAAAUAGGCUUUAUUUUUGUGUAUUAGGUAAUAUUUCUUUUACUUAGAUAAGGAUUAUAAGUUCCCAUAGCAGCACAUGCCUGCUUUUUUAUAUUUACGGUAAUUUAUGCAUAUACAUACAUUAUGUAUACAUAUUUAUGCAUAUGGGUAUGCAUUUAUAUAGGCACGCUAUAUUUUAAGCAUGCAAAAUUUUUCAUUGUCUUUCAUUGUUUUCUGUAGUGAACAUCAAGUGCCGAAAAUAUAGGAAAAUUGGAAAGAAACGUCCCAAUAAGGUUAGGAGGCAAAGACUGUAUGAGAGAGCAUUGUUGACUUUCUUCUGGAAGAACUAUUUAGAAGACUGUUCUAGAAGAAUGACCCUGUCUACUGGGAAUCGAGUCAUGCAGAGCUCUGAUUAAAUGCUGUUUAGCACUGGUAGCAGGGGAAUGCAGAAAAAGUUUUGGCUCAGCAACCAAAGCAGCGGUCUUUGAAAACAAAAGAAAAUUAAACUUCACUCCCAAAACACGGUUAUCUCUUGUUGCCAGUUUGAGCAAGGUGUCCUGUGACCUUUUUGCAAUGUGACCUGUUUGCCAAUGGAAGUUUGAUCACUUUCCUGGGCGCUGUUACGAUUAAAUGAAAGAUUCCUGAGAGGAUAUGCAGAUUCAUAAGACAAAUUGCAAAGUGAAUCGACAAGCGAAUGCUUAUCGUCAUUUAUGAAACAGCCUUAUGACAAGAAACACUCCGAGGUCAACUUCUUUAUUUAUGAAUUUUGAAGUCUGCACAAUUUAGCUCGACUCAUUGUCUCCACUAUUAUAUCAGAAAGAGGUGUUAACUUUUUAGGAAAAGAUAGUCUGGUUGCUAAGUAUUCGAGUUUGCAACCACGGGAACAAAUAUAAAAAAUUGCAACCGACAUUGAAAAGGUACCUGUGAGUAGUGAAAUAUGAUUAAUAAAUUAUUCCUGGUUCCUUGGCCAUUUGAGUUGAGGUUGCCAUAAAACAAGCACAUCGUAGAGAUUGAAUGCAAUUAAAGACGCUUGUUGUGACUAAGGUAGAACAUCAAUUGGCAGUAAAACCAGUGCUUUUGAAAAAUUUCCCAGGGCUUUCCAGCUAGAUGCUCCACCAGUUUCGAAGGAAAGAUGCAGAUUCUUUUAGUGGUGUUCAUGCUGAUGCGUUGUCAAAAGAGAAACAUUCAUUAGCACCCAUUUUGUUGUGUAUUCUCACACAAACACGAUAGGGCGAGAAGAAUUUGAAAACAGAUACACUGAAAGAGUGAAAUUUUAGCAAAAAGACACGAGAAACGCAUCCAUUGCCGCAAAAACGGAUGCUUUGAUUAGUUGGAUUGAUGCUGAAAGACAGAAAUUGGUUGCCUUGCAAGGGCAUGCACAAAGUGCCGUCACGAUAGAGGGCAUGAGGGGUGUGACACCCCCUCAAGGAAAAUUAUGUUUUAAAUAUUAAGGGGUUUUCACCAUCUAGGGGUGCUUUGUGGGCAAAGCUUCAAACAUGUCGGCAAAUGAAGGGUGGUCCACCCACUCUAUCAGAAAAUAGGACCUGAAAAACCCCCUAGUGACGUCCCUGAAUGCACACGUCCAUUUGCAGAAGAAAUAGAACGAAAAAUGUAUUGCUCUAUUUUAGUGCUUUAAACACAAUUGUAAUUUUAGCAGAGGUGUAAUAGGACUGGAACUUAACACAUUUAUGCUAGUAAUGCUUAUGAUGUUCUCUCUACUCGUCGUGCUCCUGUCCCUGCCCCAAGUUGUGCUGAAAAUUGGCAAAUUUCUACUUUUGCUGUUGUUUUUUGCAACAUUUUGUGCGAGAGCCCCCCUUGUUAUUUUGAUAGCACUACACCACUGGUUUUCACCCCAUUGAUGAUCAACUUCUUUGUCAGAAAUGAUGGUUUUUCUUUGGUUUUUCAAUCUUUAAUUAAAGUGCAUUGUAGAAUAAUGCACAAAGUUGAUCUACUUAGGAGAAAUAAUAUAUCCGUGAAAUUUCUGCUGCAAUAGGAAAAUUGAUAGAGAAUCUAUAAGAAAUGUUAAACUAAUUAUAUCUGCUUGAAAGCUGUUCCUUUAAAUCAAGAAAUUAUGAAUUGGAAAGCUUUUGAAUGUAGCAUACAGUAUUCUCUCUAAUGUGUGCCCCCUAUCCAGUUAAUAUCCUACUCCAAUGAGCGCUAUCUUUUGUAAGCAACAAGUUGAAUAAUUUUCCCUUUUUCAAAUAGUA